UUCAGGAAGGAUCCUGAGGACCUGGGUGUUUCUCCGUCAAGGAUAAACCAAGUGAAGUGAGCCGAUUAACAGGCAAAACGCUUGCUGCAAGGUUGGGGGCAGUAGGCGCCAGGCACAGGCAGAAAGGGAAAGAAAAGCCAGAGGGAGGGAGCUCCACCGUUCUUCUCGAGGUAUAUAUGAGUGGAUUCAAGUGAUCAGCAUGCCCCAUUUCCAGAAUAUUUCUGCAAUGAUUCAGGAGGAGGAAACAAGAAAAACGCAGGCAACAUACCACGUAUCCAAGUAUUUAAGAGAUGUCUUGGCACACCGUCAACAAUGGUGCCUUAUUGAGACUGAGGGCCUUGCCUAGGGUGGGGUGAAGGAGAAGGAUCUUUACCUAUGCAAGGCCACACCUUGAAGAGUGGGAGAGGUAACUGUUUUCCUUAUUAAACAUAAAUAAACCCAGAGUGAAGUAAAAUGAGAAAACAAGUUGUAAGCAAACAAAAAAACAAGAGAAAACCUCAGAAAAACACCUAAAUGAUAGAGGUAAGUAAUCUACCUGAUCAAGAAUUCAAAGUAAUGGUCAUAAAGAUGUUCAUUAAACAAGAGGAAAAAAUCGGAUGAACUGAGAACUUGAACAGAGUGAUAGAAUACACAAGAAAUUACGAAACCACAGUGACAGAGCAGAAAAAUAGAAGAAUAAAAUAUACUGGAGGUGUUCACACUGAAUGAAGGAGAAGAAGAGAUUAGUGAACUGGAAGACAAAGCAAUAGAACUCACCCAGACACAGAAGCCAAAAGAAGUAUGGAAAAAAAAUAAUAAUUUGAGGGACUUAUGAGACAACAUCAGGCACAAUAAUAUUCACAAUAUAGGGGUCCUAGAAGCAGAAGAGCAAGAAAAGGAAGUAGACCUCAAGGUCCCGGAAGCCCAGAGAGUUGCAUAAAAGAUGAACCGGAAGAGUUCCUCACCAAGACACAUCAUUAAAAGGUGAAAAGAAAAAAGGGUAAGGAUCUUCAAAGAAAAAAACCAAAUUGUUAAGUACAAAAUUCUCAGCAGUGACUUUGCAGGCCAGAGGAGAGUCACAUGACCUAUUCCAGGUGCUGAAACGAGAAAACUUCCAACCAAGAAUACUCUACCUGGCAAGGUUGUCAUUCAGAAUUCAAGAAGAGAAUUUUCCAAGCAGGCAGAAGCUAAAGGUGUUCAUCAUCACUAAAGCAGCCUUAAGAAGAACACCACAGGGGCUUUUUUGAGCCAUAAAGGACCCUAAUAAAAAGAAAACAGAAGAAAGCAAGAAUCUGAUUGGAAAAGGUAAAUACAUAGUAAGGUAGUAGAUUGACUUAGAAAUGUACUAUGAAGGUUAAAGCGUUUAAGUGAAAAUGGACUUCAAAUACACUGUUAAAUCCACGUGAUGAUACAUGAUCCUCAUAAUAACUGAGCAAAAACUUACAGUAUAUAUACAAAAGAAAAUGAGAAAGGGAUGAAAACAUUACACUAAGUCCCCAAACAGGGAAGAUAGAGAAGGAAAGGAUGGAUAGGAGCUACGAAAACAGUCUGCAAAACUGUGAACAUAAUGGCAAAUAGAUACGUAUCAGUAAUUGCUUUAAAUGUAGAUGGAACCAGAUUCUCCAAAGACCCAAUGGCUGAAUAAUUAAAAACAAACAAAAAAAGCCCAUACACAUUCCUGUAAAAGAAGCACUUUGGGAAUAAGGACACACACAGACUAAACAUGAAGGGAUGGAGAAAGGUAUUCUGUGCAGAUGAAAAUGAAAAGUUUGGUGUGGCUUUACUCACAUUAGAUAAAACAGACUUUUAAAAAAGACUGUAAUAACAAAGAGGGGUACUACAUAAUGAUAAAGGGGUAUAUCCCAACAAGAAGAACAUUCAUACGUAGUCUAAAAUAUAGGAGUACCUACAUAGAUGAAGCAAAUAUUAGUCAUGAAGGGAGAGGUUGAUAGCCAUACAAUAGUAGGACAUGUUACUACUCCGCUCUCAUCAAUGGAUUGACCAGAUAGAAAAAUCAAUAAGGAAACUGCAGAUUUGGUGAUGAAUUCCUUCAGUUUUUUGUUUGGGAAGACCUUUUUCUCUCCUUCUAUUCUGAAUGACAGACUUGCUGAAUAAAGGAUUCUCGGCUGCAUAUUUUUUUCUGUUCAUCACAUUGAAGAUUUCCUGCCAUUCCUUUCUGGCCUGUCAAGUUUCAGUACAUAGGCCUGCCACUAGUUUUAUGGGUCUCCUUUUGUAGGUUAGAGCCUCUUUAUCCCUAGUUGCUUUCAGAAUUUUCUCUUUAUCCUUGUAUUUUGCCAGUUUCACUAUGAUAUGUCUUGCAGAAGAUCGACUCAAGUUACGUCUGAAGGGAGUU
Molecule: long non-coding RNA, 2332 nt
Organism: Felis catus (domestic cat)
Lineage: Eukaryota; Metazoa; Chordata; Mammalia; Carnivora; Felidae
Exons: 4
Source: RefSeq, a predicted model, not a curated record